ACCUUCGGGUGAAGACCGAGUGGCGAACGGGUGAGUAACACGUGGGGAACCUGCCCUUCUCUCUGGGAUAACUCCGGGAAACCGGAGCUAAUACCGGAUACUCCUUGCGGACCGCAUGGUCUGCUCGGGAAAGCUCCGGCGGAGAAGGAUGGCCCCGCGGCCCAUUAGCUUGUUGGUGGGGUAACGGCCCACCAAGGCGACGAUGGGUAGCCGAGCUGAGAGGCUGAUCGGCCACACUGGGACUGAGACACGGCCCAGACUCCUACGGGAGGCAGCAGUGGGGAAUCUUGCGCAAUGGGCGAAAGCCUGACGCAGCAACGCCGCGUGCGGGAUGAAGGCUCUCGGGUCGUAAACCGCUUUCAGCAGGGAUGAAAAUGACAGUACCUGCAGAAGAAGCCCCGGCUAAAUACGUGCCAGCAGCCGCGGUAAUACGUAUGGGGCAAGCGUUAUCCGGAUUCAUUGGGCGUAAAGCGCGCGUAGGCGGCUUGUUAAGUCAGGCGUGAAAUCCGGGGGCUCAACCCGCGGCUUGCGUCUGAAACUGGCAGGCUUGAGUCUGGUAGAGGAAAGUGGAAUUCCUGGUGUAGCGGUGAAAUGCGCAGAUAUCAGGAGGAACACCAGUGGCGAAGGCGGCUUUCUGGGCCACGACUGACGCUGAGGCGCGAAAGCUAGGGGAGCGAACAGGAUUAGAUACCCUGGUAGUCCUAGCCGUAAACGAUGGGCACUAGGUGUGGGGGGUCAUCGACUCCCUCCGUGCCGAAGCUAACGCAUUAAGUGCCCCGCCUGGGGAGUAC
Molecule: ribosomal RNA, 791 nt
Filed under: uncultured Actinomycetes bacterium
Lineage: Bacteria; Bacillati; Actinomycetota; Actinomycetes
Description: bacterial SSU rRNA
Rfam family: Bacterial small subunit ribosomal RNA
Source: RNAcentral